AUGUUCAAGAAGGAUAUCUUGAGGAAACCAUUGGGAGGUUUUGGUUUAGAAAUGGAUCGAAGUGCCUACUCACUUGCUUCAGAAUCAAGCAAACGUCUUGCUUCAGAAAUGGAUCGUAGUGUUGUCUCACUUGCCUCAUUCAAUGGAUUUGCAAAGAAGUUUUCUUGCACAGGUGUAUUUAUAAAGGGCAAAAAAUACUCUGCAACAAUUCUGCCUUCAGCAAGUUUGGUUAGAGUUCCUGGCAGUGCACACAUGAUUGAUGAUAACUUAUGGAUUGAAGUUUGUCUAACAGGCGGAUUUCGAGUUGUAGGGAUGUUGAACUGUUAUAAUUUAUACUACAAUGUUGCUCUUGUUGACAUCAUCGGAUUCUGGCGUCCUCGUACAAUAAAAAUCCAUCGGCAUCCAGUCACCUCAUCUAUGGACGUAAUAGCUGUUGGUAGUCUUUUUGCGCGUCGCAAACUAAUGGCUGUUGAGGGGAAGGUGUUGAUUGGCAAACAAAGCAAACUUGAUUGCAAAGAACUUUGUGUCUCCACCUGUGUAAUCACCAAGGCUGGGAUUGGGGGGCCUCUUAUUGACAAUGAUGGGAAUUUUGUUGGAAUGAACUUCUAUGAUGAGGAAGAAACUCCGUUCCUGCCGAGGGAUGUUAUUCACCGCCUCUUAUUGAACUUAAAUAAAACACGAUAA
Molecule: ribosomal RNA, 684 nt
Filed under: Triticum aestivum (bread wheat)
Lineage: Eukaryota; Viridiplantae; Streptophyta; Magnoliopsida; Poales; Poaceae
Description: partial small subunit ribosomal RNA
Source: RNAcentral